ACUCAAAGGAAUAGACGGGGGCCCGCACAAGCGGUGGAGCAUGUGGUUCAAUUCGAUGCAGAGCGAAGAACCUUACCUGGGCUUGACAUGGCGGAAGUAGGAGGCUGAAAGGCCGACGACUCGUUGAGUCGAGAGCCGCCACAGGUGGUGCAUGGCUGUCGUCAGCUCGUGCCGUGAGGUGUUGGGUUAAGUCCCGCAACGAGCGCAACCCUCACCCGAUGUUGCCAGCGGGUAGUGCCGGGGACUCUUCGGGAACUGCCGGCGAAGAGCUGGAGGAAGGGGGGGAUGACGUCAAGUCCGUAUGCCCCUGAUGUUCAGGGCUACACACAUGCUACAAUGGGUGGUACAGAGGGCAGCGAACCCGCGAGGGGGAGCCAAUCCCAGAAAGCCACUCUCAGUUCGGAUUGCAGGCUGCAACUCGCCUGCAUGAAGGCGGAAUCGCUAGUAAGCGCAGAUCAGCAGGCUGCGCUGAAUACGUUCCCGGGCCUUGUACACACCGCCCGU
RNAcentral lists this ribosomal RNA (504 nucleotides) under uncultured bacterium. RNAcentral describes it as "partial 16S ribosomal RNA". It matches the Rfam family "Bacterial small subunit ribosomal RNA", at positions 899 to 1397 of the family's 1533-position model. The record is from RNAcentral.